GUCAAAGUGUCUGGACUGGUUCUACAUUCCCGAUCGAACAUAGUCAGAGUAUGUUGGGUUAGGGAUAACCAUUCUCAUUCGGCUGUUUUUGCUGCACACUCUAGCAAACCGUAGAUCAGCAUGAGCUCCACAAGCUGUAAUUGAACUAGAAUGAGCUUGAAAACAUGUAGAAAAUCAGCAGUUUGGUGGCCCUGGGCCACUCCCUUCAUAUAGACGCAAUAGACUCCCAUUCAUUUUUCGGCCUAGUCAAAGUCUGUCAAUGAAUGUCCCUAACCUCAGUUGCCACUUACCUCAACCAGAUUUUAUUCCAUUUUUAUAUGUUUUUUAGCUCAUUUUUUAAAAUAAAUAAAUCAUAGCUCCUUUCCUGGGAAGAUGGCUGAGUGGUGACAUCUUGCUAUGGCUGCUUUUGCUCAUCCUCUUGGGUGGCACUGGGGCAUGGGAAGCUGUAAUAAGCAGGUGAAGAUCUGCUUGUGUGCAAUUCCCUUUGGUUCCAGCCCUGGUUAGGGGAGGACGAUUUUGGUCUGUUGGACAUUCCUUCAAAACGUCAGCAGAGUUCACCAGUAAGUAUCUCUUUAAUGCAUUAAUGUAUGUGUUCAUGUUGAAGUUAUAACAUUUUUUCUGAGCAGGUGGCCAUAACAGCUCUUCAAUGAAGGGAAGGCUGUCACCACACUAAAACUUUAUCUUGUGAACGUGUCUGAGUUCCUGGGUUACUUUCGGGACAUGCCUCCAUCCACAUCGCGUGUCUCAAAAAGUCCAUGGUAGCCAUCCUGAGAGCCAUCUCCUCUGAUGUAUCCAAACUGGGAAAGCGUGUCGUCCUCCGACAAAUAAAUGUCAAAAAGGGGAAAGUAAACAAGGCAAUUCCCAUGAAUGACCUCCAUGCCUGUCAGAGGAUUGCGCGCGACAGGAUCCCUAAACUUCUUGACAAACUUGAGAAAAAACCCACACCAUUGAACCUGUGCAUAUUCUAUGGUUACUUCAGUGUGUACCUUGCAAGCAUCUAUGGGCACAGAACUGGUGUUUUGACAAAUAUGACGAUAUCAGAAGCAGACAAGUCACGGAUGGAUGCCAAGUGUGGCGACAAGGGAUUCGUCAUAAACGUCAAGGAGCACAAGACAAAUAGGGCUUUCGGAAGAAGCUGCAGCCAUCCACUGACCCUGUUUUCUACAAUGAAAACCAACAAAAAGUCAACAAUCUACAGCAGCACCUUCAGAGUGCAUGGGCCGAGAUGGGGUUCUCUGGGUCCCCAACCUUCUGUCAUGAUUUCAGCCCUUCAGCUCUACCUUGACUGUGCUGAUUACUCAUUACCCUCACCUGCUCUGUGCUGCUCCCUAUUUAAACAGCUGCUCGUCACCAGCUCAGUGCGAGAUCGUCUGUUGCCACUCUCACAGCUUUCAAGCCUUGUCUCAUGUUCCAAAGAGUUUUCUGGUUUUCUGAUCCUGCCUGUUUUUUGACCACAGAUCUUUUCCUAAUCCUUCUGCUGGUGGAAGUCCUGUUUCUGACCCUGCCUCCUGCCUUCCGGUUACUGGAUUUUCACUGCCUGAGACCCUCUCGUGCAUGACCCUGGACUGUUUCACGACUCAGCCUCUGGUUGGUGGAUUUUGUCCCUGUCUUCUGUUUGUCCCCUGAGCCCCCCCCUCCCCUGACCUCCCAUUGUCCACUCACCCAACCCUCCCCCGGCUGGACUCCUGAACCCUGUUUAUCUCCGAAUCCUGACCCACCAGUGUGACCACACCCUUCUACAUCAUUAUUUUUGUAAUAAAACUUUUGGUGAAUCGUCCUCUUGUUUUGGCUGCGUUUUGGGUUCUGGCUGAUUUUGCUCUUAACGUUACGCCUUCACAGAUUUCAGAACCUCCAUUGCCACAUAUGUAAGUAAUUAUAUCACUUUUUCAUUGUGAAAACUUAAAAUGAAAUAUUGAACAACUUCCUUUAUUUUUCAAUUGAAGAAAUGUAGUAUCACCAAACACCCGUACAAAGAUAAGCAAGACCAUGUUGCCACGACACGGCAACACCUGAAAAAUUUUACACCAUGCAUCAGACCACGGCACAACUGACCCAUUUCACUGAUCUUUGUGGCUGUAUUGGAAAAUGUAUCUAGACCUUGUGUUUGUAAGCACCAAAUACUCAGUUCCAUUGUUUCUCAUACUGGUGUUCUAGUCAGAUCAUCUUUAUAAAUUCAAGAACAGUUUAUGGAAAAUCUACCAAGAUUACGUUUACAUGAAGUUUUCUUCAUUACAUUUUGCACUAAAAAAAAGAAGGCAUGCCUUUUUACACUGCUGCAGAAUUCACUGGUACCACACAAGUCUAAAAUGCACAGCACAGUACUUCCUGGACCUUGAAGUAUCUACUGCAUUGCUGAUAUUUAGUAAGAGACAAAUUAGCUAGAUAUUUCCAAAAUUACCUUUAUAUUUUCUGUUUUAAAACUAACUUGGGGCCUUAAUUUUUAAUAGAUCCAAACUUGUUAGCACACAUACCUGAUUUACAGGUACAACUAAGAUUGUGUCAGCAAAAUUACUAUUUAGCAUGCAUGCCUUCAUGAGUGUGCAGAACAUAUUCAGAGCAUCAUAAUGUGCAAACGAUUGGGCAGAGGUUUUGAAAAAUCUAUUGAGUUACCUCCCACAAAGUGAUUUAUUGAAACAAAAGCAGAUUGGGGAUUUGUUCUAGUGUCUAUAUUUAGCAUGUUUGAAAGGGAGGUGCAACUGACAUGUCUGUGGUCAGUGUUGCAAGAGACAGACUUGGGGAAAUGAUAUUUCUUGAAGACUGUGCUCCCACAUUGUACACUGAGUUUGACUCUUAGACUAAGCCUCCACUCUGAUAUUGUUGUGAAAACUAGCAUAAAUUGGUGAGAUCUUUCAGAAAAUGCAGAAAACGUAUCAUAAAACCUGGGGGACAUAAGUAAUUUAGUAUUUUGAUUUAUUGAUGAUUAUAAAAUAAGUAAUCUUGUAUUUUAAUUUAUGUCCCUAGAUUAAUUGUCCUAUCUAUUUAACACCUCCUUUAUAUAAAAAUACUUAAAUUUAUAUAUUUAGUGUGAAAUAUAGAUAAAUGUCAUCCAGAAAUGCUAAAUUUGAGCUGCAGGAUUACCUCAUUCUGCAUCAAUUCCACUGUGUGCAAACUGUUGAAUAGAAUUGAUUGAGUUGACUUAGGUAAAUAAAUACAGAUGUCUACAGCUUUAAUUAUGAUGGAUUUUUAAAUGUUUUCACUGUUGUGUUGUUACUUAUUUCAAUGAAGUGCAUUAUUAUUAUUA
Long non-coding RNA from Xiphophorus couchianus (Monterrey platyfish), 3241 nucleotides. RefSeq lists it as uncharacterized. The transcript has 3 exons. NCBI's taxonomy places the organism in Eukaryota, Metazoa, Chordata, Actinopteri, Cyprinodontiformes, Poeciliidae. The record is from RefSeq and is a predicted model, not a curated record.